This 433-nucleotide ribosomal RNA is filed under the name uncultured bacterium. RNAcentral's name for it is "partial 16S ribosomal RNA". It matches the Rfam family "Bacterial small subunit ribosomal RNA", at positions 29 to 507 of the family's 1533-position model. The record is from RNAcentral.
AGCGAACGCUGGCGGCAGGCCUAACACAUGCGAGUCGAACGAACUCUUCGGAGUUAGUGGCGGACGGGUGAGUAACACGUGGGAACGUGCCUUUAGGUUCGGAAUAACUCAGGGAAACUUGAGCUAAUACCGGAUGUGCCCUUCGGGGGAAAGAUUUAUCGCCUUUAGAGCGGCCCGCGUCUGAUUAGCUAGUUGGUGAGGUAAAGGCUCACCAAGGCGACGAUCAGUAGCUGGUCUGAGAGGAUGAUCAGCCACAUUGGGACUGAGACACGGCCCAAACUCCUACGGGAGGCAGCAGUGGGGAAUCUUGCGCAAUGGGCGAAAGCCUGACGCAGCCAUGCCGCGUGAAUGAUGAAGGUCUUAGGAUUGUAAAAUUCUUUCACCGGGGACGAUAAUGACGGUACCCGGAGAAGAAGCCCCGGCUAACUUCGUG